GAUCAUGGCUCAGGAUGAACGCUAGCUACAGGCUUAACACAUGCAAGUCGAGGGGCAGCAUCAUCAAGGCUUGCUUUGAUGGAUGGCGACCGGCGCACGGGUGAGUAACACGUAUCCAACCUGCCGACAACACUGGGAUAGCCUUUCGAAAGAAAGAUUAAUACCGGAUGGCAUAGUUUUUCCGCAUGGGAUAAUUAUUAAAGAAUUUCGGUUGUCGAUGGGGAUGCGUUCCAUUAGG
RNAcentral lists this ribosomal RNA (238 nucleotides) under uncultured bacterium. RNAcentral's name for it is "partial 16S ribosomal RNA". It matches the Rfam family "Bacterial small subunit ribosomal RNA", at positions 15 to 245 of the family's 1533-position model. The record is from RNAcentral.